GUAAGAGCCAUGUUUAAUGGAACAGGAGGAUUUGAACCUGAGAAGCAGAAAAGGUGAUGGAUCUUCAAGAGCCAUGGGAUGAAAAGGAGUUACUGGAUGUGCUCUAGUAAAAAAAGGGAAUUGCAAGAAGGGGGGAAGCUAACAUGCAUAUGGUCUGCACAAGCACAGAAUUGUAGGCCUUAAUAAAAGCCUGCAAAGUGUAUCAAGGAAAGGUAGUGAAUGUAUUUCCAGAUUAAAAGUAUGCAAGUGGGGUGGUUCAUGCUUUGGAAAAUGAUUUCUGAAUAUGUGAUGGUGAAGGCAGUGGACUUGGAUGGAGGAACUCACUUGACAGGGGGAUCCUUGAAGGGAUUUGAGAAUUCUGUUGGAAUUCCAUGCCUCCUGGCAACCUGAGAAUUCAGGUCAAGUAGAAUGGAUGAAUGGAGUAAUAGAGAAACACGCUUUGAAGCUGGUGACAGAAACUAAGCUGCCAUGGGUAUGGCUUUUGCCAUUAGCUUUGGCAAGAAUAAGAGCUACACCCAAGGGAAUAUUCAAUGAUUCCCCUUUGAAUUAUCUGGGAUUCUUACCCUGUUAAUUUUCAAAGUGGCAGGGAGGUGAAGAUAAAUAUUUAAACCAGUGUGUGAUCAGGAGACUGUAUCUAGUGUAAGCUCUUUGACAGGAAGCCCUGUUAGCAGAGACGUUCCCUGUGGACUUUGCUGUCCAGGACAUGCAGCCAGGACUGCAGAGACAGCAGCCGGGAGAGCUGGACAUGGGUGGACCCUUGGGUCAAGGUCUCUAAAGGCCAAGAGAUUUGGACUUCUCAGCUGGAAGAAAAGGAUGGGAGACCUGGGCUGUCAGUAGGCACGGAACUAUUUGGCAAAUGGGAAAACCAGGACCGGAGUUCUAAAUGUAGUCAGCAAACAGGAAAACACAGACUGGAUUCAGGCUGGAGUAUGGAAUUGACUUGGCAAAAGAGAAAACCCGGAGAAGAUUGUGGCUGGAAUGGAGUUGGCAAAUUUCUUCAGGGCAGUUGUAUCAUCAUGGUCUUCAAGAUCCCUUCCAACCGAGACCCCUCUGUGAUGCUUCCUUCCCCCCAUCACUUUUUCGCAGGCUCUGUAGCUUGCUUGUAGCAGUUUGAACUUUCUGGGGGAAAGACAAAAAUCUCCACUGUGCCCUGUUUUUCACUGCUCUGCAGGUUCUCACCAGGUCUCUACUGAAGGCAGUGAUGGCAGUGAUGGUUCAGGCGGGCACAGGGUGCACAAGGCUUGGAACAUGCAUGGGAGCGUGGUUCCCAUUCUCCCUGGUCUGAGAAGGGGCCAGGACCUUUCCUGUGGCAGAACUGCUAGAGUUAGGGCAGCCAGGCUGCAAGGGCAAGAAGGCAGUUUGGAUUAAAGCACUGCUUGAGGCCGUGGCUCACCUGGAUUCUCCAUGUGGACUUGUUUCCUUCCUUUGAGCAUAUGGGACAGAUGUAGAAAAGUCCAGACGGUAUCUAAGUUUAAUUCAAUUUACUUGAGCUGUGUUAAACAUCAAAAAUUAAAAAAUGUGUAUCUAUGUUCAAAAGAAAGUGUGAAAUAUGCUUCUUGUCAGUGCAUUUGUUUAGGGUGCUGCUUUGCAAAGUCAUCCUGAAACCAGCUCCCUACUGCACU
RNAcentral lists this long non-coding RNA (1622 nucleotides) under Taeniopygia guttata (zebra finch). RNAcentral's name for it is "lncRNA (ENSTGUG00000019789.1)". The record is from RNAcentral. Lineage: Eukaryota; Metazoa; Chordata; Aves; Passeriformes; Estrildidae.